This 447-nucleotide ribosomal RNA is filed under the name uncultured Rhodocyclaceae bacterium. RNAcentral's name for it is "bacterial SSU rRNA". It matches the Rfam family "Bacterial small subunit ribosomal RNA", at positions 933 to 1382 of the family's 1533-position model. Lineage: Bacteria; Pseudomonadati; Pseudomonadota; Betaproteobacteria; Rhodocyclales; Rhodocyclaceae. The record is from RNAcentral.
UGGAUGAUGUGAUUAAUUCGAUGCAACGCGAAAACCUUACUACCCUUGACAUGUCCGGAAUCCCGAAGAGAUUUGGGAGUGCUCGCAAGAGAACCGGAACACAGGUGCUGCAUGGCUGUCGUCAGCUCGUGUCGUGAGAUGUUGGGUUAAGUCCCGCAACGAGCGCAACCCUUGUCAUUAGUUGCCAUCAUUUGGUUGGGCACUCUAAUGAGACUGCCGGUGACAAACCGGAGGAAGGUGGGGAUGACGUCAAGUCCUCAUGGCCCUUAUGGGUAGGGCUUCACACGUCAUACAAUGGUCGGUACAGAGGGUUGCCAACCCGCGAGGGGGAGCUAAUCCCACAAAGCCGAUCGUAGUCCGGAUCGCAGUCUGCAACUCGACUGCGUGAAGUCGGAAUCGCUAGUAAUCGUGGAUCAGCAUGUCACGGUGAAUACGUUCCCGGGUCUU